RNAcentral lists this ribosomal RNA (490 nucleotides) under uncultured bacterium. Its description in RNAcentral is "partial 16S ribosomal RNA". It matches the Rfam family "Bacterial small subunit ribosomal RNA", at positions 29 to 505 of the family's 1533-position model. The record is from RNAcentral.
AGUGAACGCUGGCGGUAGGCCUAACACAUGCAAGUCGAACGGCAGCACAGUAAGAGCUUGCUCUUACGGGUGGCGAGUGGCGGACGGGUGAGGAAUACAUCGGAAUCUACUUUUUCGUGGGGGAUAACGUAGGGAAACUUACGCUAAUACCGCAUACGACCUACGGGUGAAAGCAGGGGAUCUUCGGACCUUGCGCGAUUGAAUGAGCCGAUGUCGGAUUAGCUAGUUGGCGGGGUAAAGGCCCACCAAGGCGACGAUCCGUAGCUGGUCUGAGAGGAUGAUCAGCCACACUGGAACUGAGACACGGCCCAGACUCCUACGGGAGGCAGCAGUGGGGAAUAUUGGACAAGGGGCGCAAGCCUGAUCCAGCCAUACCGCGUGGGUGAAGAAGGCCUUCGGGUUGUAAAGCCCUUUUGUUGGGAAAGAAAAGCAGCAGGUUAAUACCCCGCUGUUCUGACGGUACCCAAAGAAUAAGCACCGGCUAACUUCG